AAGUCGUAACAAGGUUUCCGUAGGUGAACCUGCGGAAGGAUCAUUAUUGAAUAAAAUUUGGAGUUGAAGUUUUUGCUGCUGGCUUGAUAAGAGCAUGUGCACACUUUGCUUCAUUUAUUAUUUUACCUCCUGUGCACACUUUGUAAAUCUGGCAUUAAGGAUUGCAGGGUUGAUUCUCUGCUUUUCUUUACUUUUUAUCCUCCAGAUUUAUGUGUUUUUUUUUACACACACCAUCUAGAAUGUAUUUUUGUUUGUUAUUAAAAUAAAUACAACUUUCAACAAUGGAUCUCUUGGCUCUU
RNAcentral lists this unclassified non-coding RNA (299 nucleotides) under fungal sp. RNAcentral's name for it is "partial internal transcribed spacer region". The stretch from base 1 to 46 matches the Rfam family "Eukaryotic small subunit ribosomal RNA", at positions 1786 to 1831 of the family's 1831-position model. The record is from RNAcentral. Lineage: Eukaryota; Fungi.